Molecule: ribosomal RNA, 468 nt
Filed under: uncultured bacterium
Lineage: Bacteria
Description: partial 16S ribosomal RNA
Rfam family: Bacterial small subunit ribosomal RNA
Source: RNAcentral
GACGAACGCUGGCGGCGUGCUUAACACAUGCAAGUCGAACGGUAAGGCCCUGCUUUUGUGGGGUUCUCGUGUGGCGAACGGGUGAGUAUCACGUGUGUAUCCUGCCCUUUACUUUGGGAUAACUUCAGUAAACUGGGUCUCUUACCGGAUAGGACCUCCUGCUGCAUGUUGGGGGUUGGAAAGUUUCGGCGGUUGGGGAUGGACUCGAGGCUUUUCAGCUUGUUGGUUGGGUAGUGGCUUACCAACGCUUUGACGGGUCGCCGGACUGAGAGGGUGACCGGGCACAGGGGGACUGAGAGACGGGCCAGAGGGCAACGGGAGGAAGGAGGGGGGAAUAGAGCACAAUGGGCGGAAGGAGGAGGGAGGAAAGCCGGGUGGGGGAGGACGGCCGUCGGGUAGUAAAGGGCUUGAGAGUGUGACGAAGCGAGAGUGACGGUAAUGUGUAAAGAAGAAACGGCUAACUACGUG